Molecule: ribosomal RNA, 989 nt
Filed under: Pratylenchus thornei
Lineage: Eukaryota; Metazoa; Nematoda; Chromadorea; Rhabditida; Pratylenchidae
Description: SSU rRNA
Rfam family: Eukaryotic small subunit ribosomal RNA
Source: RNAcentral
UUAGCCAUGCAUGUAUAAGUAUAAACGCUUUAAGCGUGAAACUGCGUACGGCUCAUUACAACAGCAAUAAUUUACUUGAUCUUGACAACCUACAUGGAUAACUGUGGUAAUUCUAGAGCUAAUACAUGCACCAAAGCUCCGACCCGCGAGGGGAGAGCGCAUUUAUUAGAACAAAACCAAGCGGCUUCGGCCGUCCAUUGUUGACUCAGAAUAACUAAGCUGAUCGUACGGUCUUGUACCGACGACGUGUCUUUCAAGUUUCUGCCUUAUCAACUUUCGAUGGUAGUGUAUCUGACUACCAUGGUGGUGACGGGUAACGGAGGAUAAGGGUUCGACUCCGGAGAAGGGGCCUGAGAAAUGGCCACUACGUCUAAGGAUGGCAGCAGGCGCGCAAAUUACCCACUCUCAAUGCGAGGAGGUAGUGACGAGAAAUAACGAGGCCGUUCUCUUUGAGGCCGGUCAUCGGAAUGGGUACAAUUUAAACCCUUUAACGAGUAUCUAUGAGAGGGCAAGUCUGGUGCCAGCAGCCGCGGUAAUUCCAGCUCUCAAAAUGCAUAGAAUUAUUGCUGCGGUUAAAAAGCUCGUAGUUGGAUCUGUGCCUGUGCUCUGGUCCACCUCGCGGUGCGCACUGGGUGUCACAGGCUUUCCUGCAGUGUUCAGCCCCGGCGCCUUCACCGGCACCGGUGUGUUGAUGCUGCAAGUUUACUUUGAACAAAUCGGAGUGCUCCAAACAGGCGUUUGCUUGAACGUUCGUGCAUGGAAUAAUAGAAGAGGAUUUCGGUUCAAUUUUAUUGGUUUUAUUGGCCGAGAUAAUGGUUAACAGAGACAAACGGGGGCAUUUGUAUUGCUGCGUGAGAGGUGAAAUUCUUGGACCGUAGCAAGACAAACUACCGCGAAAGCAUUUGCCAAGAAUGUCUUCAUUAAUCAAGAACGAAAGUCAGAGUUCGAAGGCGAUCAGAUACCGCCCUAGUCUUGGAACGCGUAAAAAA